CCAGUCUGUGGUCUACUGGGCUCACGAUCUGUAUCUCCAGUACCUGAUCUGUGCUGGUUUAGGAUUCAGCCUCUAUCUCUGAUCGAAGGGCUUCAUAGGCAAUCUCAUCAAGGACGUCAUCAGCUUCAUAGACAGCUAUUUUAAGCUCUCUAAAAGCCACUGUUUUACAGCUGGCUUCGUAAUCUCCUUCUCCUCAGCAUCAUCGAGCGAUUUGACAGAUAUCAAAGUCGUUUUCAUCUUCUUGAGCAGUCCAUCAUUGAGUCUUCGGUUCUUGAAGAAGUCAACAACUUCACGAGAAGCCAUCCUACCAAAUAGGACCUGAAGGAAAGCAGAGAGAAAUGCUCCUCCUACUGCUGCUGCAUCCAUGGUUUAACUUUUCACCCUUAACAAGUUGUCAAACUAUAAAAAAGGAAACAGAUGAAGAGAAGCAAAACCAAACAGAGAAGGCAAGAAAAUAAAG
RNAcentral lists this unclassified non-coding RNA (460 nucleotides) under Hevea brasiliensis (rubber tree). Lineage: Eukaryota; Viridiplantae; Streptophyta; Magnoliopsida; Malpighiales; Euphorbiaceae. The record is from RNAcentral.